RNAcentral lists this long non-coding RNA (393 nucleotides) under Homo sapiens (human). RNAcentral describes it as "HSALNT0393341". The record is from RNAcentral. Lineage: Eukaryota; Metazoa; Chordata; Mammalia; Primates; Hominidae.
UGUGACGAAGGCUAGCCUGUAUACCUAUGAAAUUCAUUCCCUGCAAGGCUGUGGAGGGUUGAGCAGGUACAGGCACCACGGCCAGGCACAAACUCUGUGUUAUUUUUGUGGGAGCAAAGAAGAAUUCUUCUAGUUCCACAAGGUGCGGCAAUAUGAAAAAAUGAUAGUUGGACAAGGAUGAACUCAGAGGUAAUUUCUAACAAGAGUAGGGAUAAGGAGAGGAAGCCAGGACUGUGAUGUGAGCACAGAGUGGAGUGCUGGGAAAACAUGGGAUCUGGACUUGAGCCCCAAGUCUACCCUGGACAGCUGAGUGAUUUUGGGUUGCUGACAUCUAGGAUGACUUGGGAAGUUACACGUUGAGUACAGAAGAGCCUUUCUCAGCCCAGGUUCCUG